This 433-nucleotide ribosomal RNA is filed under the name uncultured bacterium. RNAcentral's name for it is "partial 16S ribosomal RNA". It matches the Rfam family "Bacterial small subunit ribosomal RNA", at positions 29 to 507 of the family's 1533-position model. The record is from RNAcentral.
AACGAACGCUGGCGGCAUGCCUAACACAUGCAAGUCGAACGAGACCUUCGGGUCUAGUGGCGCACGGGUGCGUAACGCGUGGGAACCUGCCCUUAGGUUCGGAAUAACUCCCCGAAAGGGGUGCUAAUACCGGAUAAUGUCUUCGGACCAAAGAUUUAUCGCGUUUGGAUGGGCCCGCGUUGGAUUAGCUUGUUGGUAGGGUAAAAGCCUACCAAGGCGACGAUCCAUAGCUGGUCUGAGAGGAUGAUCAGCCACACUGGGACUGAGACACGGCCCAGACUCCUACGGGAGGCAGCAGUGGGGAAUAUUGGACAAUGGGCGAAAGCCUGAUCCAGCAAUGCCGCGUGAGUGAUGAAGGCCGUAGGGUUGUAAAGCUCUUUUACCCGGGAUGAUAAUGACAGUACCGGGAGAAUAAGCCCCGGCUAACUCCGUG